Molecule: long non-coding RNA, 2573 nt
Filed under: Equus caballus (horse)
Lineage: Eukaryota; Metazoa; Chordata; Mammalia; Perissodactyla; Equidae
Description: lncRNA (ENSECAG00000046686.1)
Source: RNAcentral
GGAAGAAGGAGCUGGCCACCCAUUUCCAUGAAUCUCCAUGGAACCUUGUCUGAUACAGAGCUGAAGGCAUUCAGAACCUACUGAAGUGUAAAUCACUGCUUCAGAGAAGGCUGGCCACACCAGAGAACACAUUCGCAUGUUUGAACUUCUGAAGUUUCCUCUGAGGAAAGAAUUACCUCAAUAGUACCUGGCUUGAAUAUUUAUUAGGCACCAGGUACAUAACGUCCACUAAGUGUCUUCUACUGCUGUGCCUCCCGAUUCUCUGCUCAGGACCGAGUCACUCAUUAUUCUUAGUUUCUUGCAAGUCUUUGAAUUUGACCACACAAAGAUGAGUAUUUCUCUAGCAAGUUCCCCAGGUCCAAGAGAACCACUUAGCCCAAGAUCACAUCCCCUUCAUGAAGGAAGCACACACUUGUUGACUCUUCACAGCACCCCGGUAUACAGUUGCAUAUUCUUCGUUGUGGGUCCUUCUAGUUGUGGUAUGUGGGACGCUGCCUCAGCAUGGUUUGAUGAGCGGUGCCAUGUUCGCGUCUGGGAUUUGAACCAACGAAACACUGGGCCGCCUGCAGUGGAGCACGUGAACUUAACCACUCGGCAACGGGGCCAGCCCAAGAUAAAAUCUGCUUUUAAUAUUCAUUUCAAUGGUUUCUUUUUACUUUUUUUUUUUGAGGAAGAUUGGCCUUGAGCUAACGUCUGUUGUCAAUCUUCCUCUUUUUACUUGAGGAAGAUUGUUGCUGAGCUAACAUCUGUGCCAAUCUUCUUCUAUUUUAUGCAGGAUGCCACCACAGCAUGGUUUGACGAUCAGAGCUAGGUCCUGGCCUGGAUCUGAACCUGCAAACUCCUGACCGCUGAAGCUGAGUGUGGGAAGGCAAUCACCACACCAACAGAGACUGCUUUUUCUCUAAGAUUGAGGAAAGAAAGAAAGAUGGAGUUGCAAAAGAAAAUAUUUCCAUUUCCAACACAUGUGUAUAUGGAACAGCAUGUAGUCAUUUUUUCCCCAGUUACAGGAAGGUCCCACUCUGCCUAAAGCAUUCUGUGAGGCAUUAGCCCAGCUCACCACGUGCACGGCAAACACAUGCAAGGAAAGCCAUUUUUACUGAGCAGAUCUGGUCCUGAGAAAGACAAACCCUUUUGGUUCUGUUUCAAGGCAGUUUAACCACCACGACGUAACAGCUGGAACUCCACUUUAGCCAUCUCUCACACAAGUCUUUCUGAUCGGUUAUGGAUUUUUCUCGUCAACAGCACAAACGCAGAAGGCUGACGACUGCUGGUUUCUGGCUGUCUGCUCACAAAGGCAGUUUGAUGGUGCGCUGAGCACUGGUAGAUUCCUUGUAUAUCUCCACAGUUCCUAGGGUUCAGUCCACUCCAACUGCAGGAGGAGUAUCCAGACAGAGGAACAGGCUGAGUGGAAACCCGAUGCUCCACGUGGAGCCCAUGCCCAGCCCAGUGACCUCCUUGUUAAAGAUGGCUGAGGGCACAUCUAGCAGUAAAAGCUGCCAAGCACACACAUCGUAUCAGGAGAUACAUUCAGCCUGCUCUGUGCCCCCACUGCAAAAAAUUAAACUGAAUAAUCGAACAAACCACACCUUAAAUAAGAAAGAGAUUCUUUUCUAAGAUUGACAAAUUAUACUGAAAAUGUAUCAACUUUUCUCAACAAAAACUUUUUGGAAGGAUCAUUUCAAAUAUUUAAUGCUUUCUCUUUUUCCUUCAAAAUGGAAAACCCAAAUGUGAUGACUCUCCACUUACAAUGAGUUCAUUGUGCAUUUAUACAGGACACCAACCCUCAUGGCAGCCAGUGAUGUGCAUCUCUUUCCACAUUCCUGUGAAGUGACUUCUUUUUUUCUUUUUAAAGAUUGGCACCUGAGCUAACAACUGUUGCCAAUCUUCUUCUUUUUUUUCUUUCUUUCUGCCUUUUCUCCCCAAAUCCCCCCAGUACAUAGUUGUAUAUUUUAGUUGUGGGUUCUUCUAGUUGUGGCACGUGGGACGCCACCUCAGCGUGGCCUGAUGAGCGGUGCCAUGUCCGCACCCAGGAUCCGACCCGGCGAAACCCUGGGCUGCUGCAUCAGAGCGCGGGAACUCAACCACUCGGCCACGGGGCUGGCCCCAAGUGACUUCUCAUUGGUAGCUUGAGAGCAACAAACCAAACAAAUCAGGAUUUUCCCUCCAUCUGAGAGUUAGUUAUUAAAUAUUGACCAGCACACUUCUGAUUUUCAAUUUCCUUCCGUCUGAUCGUUCUGGGAUACGGCAAAGCUGAGCAUCAGAACUUGCAUCCUAGUAGAAGCACCAGGCAAAGAUACAGCAGAGCCACCUGGGUGCUGGUUGUUCAUCCUUUCCCUAGGCAAGAUUCUGACUUCUUAAAAUCCUUAUUUUUAAACUGCAACAAGAAUAUAUACAUUUUAAGUGGCAUUUUAUAAAGGAAAGGGACAAAAUUGUAAGAUAGCUAUUAUCUAAAUGACUAAAUAUGAUAAUGUCAACUUUUAUGGGCUUUACCAGUGAGGGAGCUUGUACGCUAUGAGACAGAGGCCUUGAGUGAAGAUUAGAGACCCUCUGCUCACUAAUGUGAUGUAAGGGAG